CCUUCAGAAUUAUUUGGACAGAAGUUUAAAAAACGUGAAGAUUUUUUUCAAUCUCCUUGUCCUUCUUCUUUAAUUGGUGUUCAACUUAUCUCCGACUUGAGUGCAGUACGAAGAUUUAAUAUUAAUUUAAUCGAAUCAAAAUGUGUAGUACUUCCAUUUGAGACUGAAUUUAUAUGCUAUCCCUUGAUUCACAGUGAAAUUCAGUGAAAUUAAGUGAAAUUCACUUUUUACAAUGCCGUACUCUAUAGUUCAUUUUGUUGAAACUGACGAGGUAGAAAUUAUCCCAAUCAAUUGGCUGUCAGCAAGUAAAAAUAAAUGUUGGUGGCCGCCGUACAAAUCUUCAGAACGCCAAUCGAAGGCCGUCAUGAAUGGGGACACGCCAAAUCAGCAAGUUUGGUUAUCGUUUGACGUAAAAGUUUUAGGUGGAGGCAAAAUAUUUGGUGAGUCUUUUUUAUUGCAUACAUUGAUAAAGUUAUUUAUAAGAAAGAAAAAUGCUGUUUAUUUGUUUGUUAAGGUUCUUAUAAUCAAGCAAAAAAUAAUGUUGGAAAAGCAUUGGAAGAAACUGAUCCGGAAUUUGAGAGCGACUUGGAAGUAACUGGUCGAGGGCAACGACACAAGAAAACUGUUCAUCUACCACCGCCCGGCGACUCCGAUAGUGAAGAAGAACCGCCCAAAAUGAAGCAAAAUCGUUCUAUUCCCACGAAGACAAUACCGCCACCACCACAAUAUUUUAGUUUAGUGGGAGAGGGCUUGCAAUCAGAAAAGGAAGACGGCCACGAAUCAAGUUUACCAGGACCGAGUGACCCCCCAUCGCCAACUAAUUCACAGCAAUACCAAGGCACACUCUCUAGCGAGCAAGUUUUAUCUAGCUCUCACGAAUUGGAAAGCCGUUCGAUUCCUCAGGCAGAGGACAUUGAUACAACUUUCGGCAGAGAUAAUGGCACGUUACCAAACGCAGGAAAUUUAGGUAGGUGUGUGACAAUUUAUGUAAUGUCUCAGUAAUAAAUAACUUGGGGGACCAAGACGGGUGGUCAAAACGAAAAGUUUCCAGUGGGUUUAUUACCAGUGGAUGAUGAGUCUGACUUGAAGAAACUCGAGGAUUUCGCCAAGGCAUCAAGAAUCACAUUGAUUACAGAACUGCAGAAAGGCAUACGUGCGACCAAGGAUGUAAAGAUUGCUACACAGCGGAUACUAGCCAAGUUGCUGACAGAUAAGUAUGCAUCGUCAUACAACUGGAUUGGUUCAAGAGGACCGAAGUCACCUUUUUCAAAAUCAUGGAUGAAGCACAUUAUAUAUGAGGCAAUUCAAGGACUGGAAAACUUGGGCAACGCUGACGACGACGAGAUUUGGGAAGCAAUUAAAAAUUGGCUCAAAAAUUCCAACAAGCGUAUUGAAUCGGAUAGGAAAAAGUUGGAGAAGUCCAAUGCAGCUCUUCCAUUAAGAAAUACUGGACCAGAAUCAGACAAUUGAUUUUUUUCACAAUUUUUUAUUGUUAUUUGGAUUUAAAACUUUAUGUAAUGUUAAUGGUCAGUAAUAAAUCAUAAUUCCCGCAUCUAA
Folsomia candida is the source of this 1557-nucleotide long non-coding RNA. RefSeq lists it as uncharacterized. The record is from RefSeq and is a predicted model, not a curated record. Lineage: Eukaryota; Metazoa; Arthropoda; Collembola; Entomobryomorpha; Isotomidae. The transcript is spliced from 5 exons.